ACGGAAGGCAGCAGUGGGGGAUAUUGCACAAUGGGGGAAACCCUGAUGCAGCGACGCCGCGUGAGCGAAGAAGUAUUUCGGUAUGUAAAGCUCUAUCAGCAGGGAAGAAAAUGACGGUACCUGGCUAAGAAGCUCCGGCUAAAUACGUGCCAGCAGCCGCGGUAAUACGUAUGGAGCAAGCGUUAUCCGGAUUUACUGGGUGUAAAGGGAGCGUAGACGGUUUGCCAAGUCUGAUGUGAAAGGUGGGGGCUCAACCCCCAAACUGCAUUGGAAACUGGUAGACUAGAGUGUCGGAGAGGUAAGUGGAAUUCCUAGUGUAGCGGUGAAAUGCGUAGAUAUUAGGAGGAACACCAGUGGCGAAGGCGGCUUACUGGACGAUAACUGACGUUGAGGCUCGAAAGCGUGGGGAGCAAACAGGAUUAGAUACCCUGGUA
This 434-nucleotide ribosomal RNA is filed under the name uncultured Lachnospiraceae bacterium. RNAcentral's name for it is "partial 16S ribosomal RNA". It matches the Rfam family "Bacterial small subunit ribosomal RNA", at positions 341 to 792 of the family's 1533-position model. The record is from RNAcentral. Lineage: Bacteria; Bacillati; Bacillota; Clostridia; Lachnospirales; Lachnospiraceae.